RNAcentral lists this small nucleolar RNA (79 nucleotides) under Cephalotus follicularis. Lineage: Eukaryota; Viridiplantae; Streptophyta; Magnoliopsida; Oxalidales; Cephalotaceae. The record is from RNAcentral.
AAGCUUAUUAGGAUUAUAUUUAAGUUGGAAUUACGGACUUUGCUGAUGUAAAUAUUAGACUGGUUAUCUGAGGCUUCAU